This is a long non-coding RNA of Diabrotica virgifera virgifera (western corn rootworm), 745 nucleotides long. RefSeq lists it as uncharacterized. NCBI's taxonomy places the organism in Eukaryota, Metazoa, Arthropoda, Insecta, Coleoptera, Chrysomelidae. The transcript has 3 exons. The record is from RefSeq and is a predicted model, not a curated record.
CAAUAUGGCUACUGGGUGUAAAAGAUAAAUCUUAUUCUAUCUGUUCUUAAUGAGUUUUAGAUAAUUUUAGUUGUAUUUCUUUGUAAUUUUGUGUUGUACAAAGAUUAAUUUAACAUUUUCUCUGGAAGUAUUAAUUUAGAAAGAUAAUAUGCUUCAUUGGUGUUGUGUUUUGAAGUGUGAAAUGCAAAGUAAUUGUGAUAAAGUCAAGAUAAAUUUCACUUUUAAACUGAACUAAAUAAGGUAUCUGAGAGACAACAAUGGUUAAAUGCAAUACAAUGUACAGGUUUUACUAGCGAAAUGAAAAUUUUCCUGUCCUGUCUGCUGUAAUCAUUUUAUAUCUGGAAAACCAGCCAACUUAAUCGAUAAUAACAAUCUCCAGAUUGGGUUCCUUCAAUAAAUAUGGGCUAUUAACACAAUGAAAUAAGUUCCAGAAAAUCUAAAAUGGAGUGGUAUCAAAGGAGAAUUAAAGGAAAAAAUAUUCAUAUUGAAAUUAUUUAUAAGGCACUGGACUGUCUUAAAUUCUACAAUAAUACUAGAAUCAGCUGAGAGAAGUGGUCUACAAAAAACCAGGAAGGAAACGGAAUAUGUGGCUACGAAAGGCAAAAGAAAGGUUUACAAAGCAAAUGUGACACAUUUUUUGAAAUAUUUAGGAAUAUCAGUAAAUUGCAUUAAAAAAAUGUAUGAAAAGAUUUUGUUCAAUAAAAAUGUUUAUAUUUAUCAAGGAUGUAUUAUUUGGUAUGGCCAC